RNAcentral lists this small RNA (29 nucleotides) under Bombyx mori (domestic silkworm). Its description in RNAcentral is "piRNA piR-bmo-1906802". The record is from RNAcentral. Lineage: Eukaryota; Metazoa; Arthropoda; Insecta; Lepidoptera; Bombycidae.
UGUAGAAAUAUCUUCGUCUUAGCUGGUCC